This 1113-nucleotide long non-coding RNA is filed under the name Oncorhynchus mykiss (rainbow trout). RNAcentral describes it as "lncRNA (ENSOMYG00000066963.1)". The record is from RNAcentral. Lineage: Eukaryota; Metazoa; Chordata; Actinopteri; Salmoniformes; Salmonidae.
AUGACAGACGGGAGACUCUGGCGGCUCAUGACAGACGGGAGACUCUGGCGGCUCUGGACAGACGGGAGACUCUGGCGGCUCUGGACAGACGGGAGACUCUGGCGGCUCUGGACAGACGGGAGACUCUGGCGGCUCUGGACAGACGGGAGACUCUGGCGGCUCUGGACAGACGGGAGACUCUGGCGGCUCUGGACAGACGGGAGACUCUGGCGGCUCUGGACAGACGGGAGACUCUGGCGGCUCUGGACAGACGGGAGACUCUGGCGGCUCUGGACAGACGGGAGACUCUGGCGGCUCUGGACAGACGGGAGACUCUGGCGGCUCUGGACAGACGGGAGACUCUGGCGGCUCUGGACAGACGGGAGACUCUGGCGGCUCUGGACAGACGGGAGACUCUGGCGGCUCUGGACAGACGGGAGACUCUGGCGGCUCAUGACAGACGGGAGACUCUGGCGGCUCAUGACAGACGGGAGACUCUGGAGGCUCUGGACAGACGGGAGACUCUGGCGGCUCUGGACAGACGGGAGACUACGGGAGACUCUGGCGGCUCUGGACAGACGGGAGACUCUGGCGGCUCUGGACAGACGGGAGACUCUGGCGGCUCUGGACAGACGGGAGACUCUGGCGGCUCUGGACAGACGGGAGACUCUGGCGGCUCUGGACAGACGGGAGACUCUGGCGGCUCUGGACAGACGGGAGACUCUGGCGGCUCUGGACAGACGGGAGACUCUGGCGGCUCUGGACAGACGGGAGACUCUGGCGGCUCUGGACAGACGGGAGACUCUGGCGGCUCUGGACAGACGGGAGACUCUGGCGGCUCUGGACAGACGGGAGACUCUGGCGGCUCUGGACAGACGGGAGACUCUGGCGGCUCUGGACAGACGGGAGACUCUGGCGGCUCUGGACAGACGGGAGACUCUGGCGGCUCUGGACAGACGGGAGACUCUGGCGGCUCUGGACAGACGGGAGACUCUGGCGGCUCUGGACAGACGGGAGACUCUGGCGGCUCUGGACAGACGGGAGACUCUGGCGGCUCUGGACAGACGGGAGACUCUGGCGGCUCUGGACAGACGGGAGACUCUAGCGGCUCUGGACAGACGAGGCGCACUGUAG